UGGCCUCAAGUUUCAUAAAUUGCAUUUAUUAUCAUGUCUUUGAGUCUUCUAAGCAGAUCUAUUGGAUCCUUCUGCCACCGAGCGUCACCUCGUCAUGCAGGCAGGCACACACGACCACCAGGCCUGGGGAUGAUGCCCCUCAACAUAGCUCACUGCACCCCGUCUGAUCUGGCUUCCCCAACCUCCCCAGCCCUUCGAAACCACGUGGGGCUGGCUCCCACCCACAUCCUGUUCCCCCGACCUCUGUGCUGGCAAACCACCUGUGUGCAUGUUCCUCCAGGCCCAGCCUCAUGUCCCCUCCAGGAAGUCUACCCCAGUUCCCAGGGAAGAGUGCGUUCCCAUCUCUGGAAUCCCUCAGCCCUGAGCCUGCCCCUUCACAUCCCCCGCUGCUGGGUCUGUUUAGGGACUCCUCUGUCCCCCGUCCUCUCAGCAGGCAGGGAACUUCUGAGGGACAGGUCUUCGUUUGCUUUUUCUGUUUUCUCACCAAUUACAUAGGGCUGAGACCCAGGACUCAGGCUUGGGCUGGGGGUUUAUAGAGUCAAUUGACAAGUUGGACAGAGGCCUGGCAGGGCCAGCCCCACCUGGGGGUGGGCAAAGCAGGUCACCAGAGCCUUCUUUCCUGCCCACAGGACAGCCACUCACUGGUGGGAGCAACCGGGUGUGGAGGCCCGCACCCUGCUCAAGCUCUAUGGAAUCCGCUUUGACAUCCUCGUCACCGGGCAGGUAGGCACAGGUAGGGGUCAGGCCGGGGAUGGGAUGGGGCAGGCAGACAGGGCUGGAGGAGGCAUGAGGCUGACAGUCGUGGGCUGAGAGGUUCAGCUCAGAUCUCUCUCAGGCAGGGAAGUUCGGGCUCAUCCCCACGGCCGUCACACUGGGCACCGGGGCAGCUUGGCUGGGCGUGGUCACCUUUUUCUGUGACCUGCUACUGCUGUAUGUGGAUAGAGAAGCCCAUUUCUACUGGAGGACAAAGUAUGAGGAGGCCAAGGCCCCGAAAGCAACCACCAACUCUGUGUGGAGGGAGCUGGCCCUUGCAUCCCAAGCCCGACUGGCCGAGUGCCUCAGACAGAGCUCAGCACCUGCACCCAUGGCCACUGCUGCUGGGAGUCAGACACAGACACCAGGAUGGCCCUGUCCAAGUUCUGACACCCACUUGCCAACCCAUUCCGGAAGCCUGUAGCCGUUCCCUGCUGGUUGAGAGUUGGGGGCUGGGAAGGGCGGGGCCCUGCCUGGGGAUCUCAAGGAUGAGGCCCCAGCAUGGAGGAUUGGGGGUAGAAUUCCACCCUUGAACCCCAGCAGACAGUCCCUCCCCUGACUCCCACCUUGGUAGGGUGCUGCCUCAGGGAGCCAUAGAAGUCGGCUGUGUUUUGAGACGGCGACAGAACCUGACCCGUGGAGACUGGGAGAGCCCAGCAGGCACCUGUAUUGCAGGGCUCCGACUGCAUGUGGCAGGGGCUCCUGCUGCGUCUGGGCCUGGAGGUCUCUCUCCCAGUGCUCUGUCCCCAGUGUUCCUAGCAGAGGUAUGCUUACCAGCUGUCAGCACAGACCCUCCUGCUGCCUGGGUCCUGGCCCUCCUCCCCCAUCUGCACCCCCAUCAUAGGUAGAGACCCCACCCUCCCAUCGGUCCUACAUGGGGCUGUGCAGCUGGAGCCAAAAAGGCAAGGUAGAAAGAGAAGUGAUGGGGGAGGGGGAUUGUUUCAGCUUCUCUGGUGCUGUGAUGCCCCAGGAGAGUCCUAAUCUAGGGAAUGGGGUGGAGUAGGCAGAUAAUCCACCUCCCUAUCCCCCAGGCAAGGGCGGAGCAUGUGUCUUGGGCCCACACCUGCUCAGUUUAUGAGGACCGGCUGCUUUCCAGUGGUAGCCCUUUUGCCAUGGAGGUCUGGGAGAGAGCAGAGGGCGGCAGGGCUAAGUUGGUGAUCAUUGGGUUCUUCAGGACCUUCUAUAUCCCUCCUCGGUGACCCCCCAGCCCAACCCCUUGGAAUCUUUCCUCCAGGCUUCCUGAGAGCCCUGGGGGUGGGAGGCUGUGGGAGGCUGUACAUCUGAAAUUCACUUCAGUCCAAGUCAUACCUAGGAAGCUGUCUGGGCAGCUGCUCAAGGGAGGCCCUGGCUCUGAUCCCAGGCUGGAUGGAGUGGCUGGAAGGAAUGGUUCCAAACAACACCACCGAGAUCUCCCUCAGGCUGGCCAGGUUUUGCAGCUGGAAUUCUCCUCUUGGUCCCAGGGUGGGGCAGGGAAUUCUAAGUGUCCACCCCAGGGAGGCAAGGGGCUGCUUUCCACUGUGGGUACCUGGUGAUCAGGGCAAGCUGUGGAGGGCCAGGGGUGGGGCUGAGACUGGGCUGACAUCUAGAAUCACCUGCCACCUGGAGCCUCAGUAAAAUGCCUGGGGUCCCUGCUGCCUCUCAAUCUCCAGAGCCAUGUCCAUGGGGAGGUGGGCUCUGAAGGGCAAAGGUGGGAGAGCAUGGCCCCUGAGGCCUGGGUAUCCAAGGAGGGGCACGUGCACCUGAUUCUCCUUGGGGCCCAGAGGAAGCUGAUGUCAUGGCUGGACAAAGUCACGGAGUAAAGCCAGCAAAGCCACCCUCUUCCUGUGUAGUCCUUACAGGCAUGACUGGAAAGUUGGGGGGCAUCUAUGGUAGACAUGGCACAGCCAUGAAGAGACCAGUGGGGUGGUGCAGGGUGGACUUGGGGACCCUACCCCUGAAGACUGAGGCCCUGCAGCUACCAGGUGGGCUAGAAGGUAACUGGAACAGGCCUGGGCACUUGUGCACCCAUGUAGGAGCAUGAGGGCCACACUCUUUUCACCUCAAAGCCCUUGAAGAGUGGGCAAAGACAGCAAGAGAGCUGCAGCCUGGGCCCGAGCUCAGAAACAGCUGUCGCCUCAGUCUGCGCACAGGCAUGCACCCCAGGGUAGUGCCUGCAGGGAUGCAUGUGUCCCCGUGGGGGUGCCUG
RNAcentral lists this long non-coding RNA (2938 nucleotides) under Pan troglodytes (chimpanzee). RNAcentral's name for it is "long non-coding RNA NONPTRT009539". Lineage: Eukaryota; Metazoa; Chordata; Mammalia; Primates; Hominidae. The record is from RNAcentral.